AUUGAACGCUGGCGGCAGGCCUAACACAUGCAAGUCGAACGGUAACAGGAAGCAGCUUGCUGCUUUGCUGACGAGUGGCGCACGGGUGAGUAAUGUCUGGGAAACUGCCCGAUGGAGGGGGAUAACUACUGGAAACGGUAGCUAAUACCGCAUAACGUCGCAAGACCAAAGAGGGGGACCUUAGGGCCUCUUGCCAUCGGAUGUGCCCAGAUGGGAUUAGCUAGUAGGUGGGGUAACGGCUCACCUAGGCGACGAUCCCUAGCUGGUCUGAGAGGAUGACCAGCCACACUGGAACUGAGACACGGUCCAGACUCCUACGGGAGGCAGCAGUGGGGAAUAUUGCACAAUGGGCGCAAGCCUGAUGCAGCCAUGCCGCGUGUAUGAAGAAGGCCUUCGGGUUGUAAAGUACUUUCAGCGGGGAGGAAGGGAGUAAAGUUAAUACCUUUGCUCAUUGACGUUACCCGCAGAAGAAGCACCGGCUAACUCCGUG
This 490-nucleotide ribosomal RNA is filed under the name uncultured bacterium. Its description in RNAcentral is "partial 16S ribosomal RNA". It matches the Rfam family "Bacterial small subunit ribosomal RNA", at positions 30 to 507 of the family's 1533-position model. The record is from RNAcentral.